RNAcentral lists this transfer RNA (73 nucleotides) under Candida buenavistaensis. RNAcentral describes it as "tRNA-Gln". Lineage: Eukaryota; Fungi; Ascomycota; Pichiomycetes; Serinales; Debaryomycetaceae. The record is from RNAcentral.
UGAUCUAUUGACUAAUAGGCAAGUCCCCUAGAUUUGGUCUAGGUCUAUAUACGUUCGAAUCGUAUUAGAUCAG